This 82-nucleotide non-coding RNA is filed under the name Frankia alni. The record is from RNAcentral. Lineage: Bacteria; Bacillati; Actinomycetota; Actinomycetes; Frankiales; Frankiaceae.
GGAAGCCGGUGGGAAUCCGGCGCGGUCGCGCCACUGUGACCGGUCUGCCUGUCCGUGUGGGCGGCGGUACCGGGAGUCAGAC